GAAAGGAAGCCGGGAGCCAUCUUGGGAUGGAAGCCAGGAGCUGCCGGUAGAGUAUGAUGGUGCAGGAAACUCGCAGCCAGCACAGCAACUCAAAGACAGAAUGGACUGACUCUCUGUGGACCUGGGGUCUGACAGUAGGGGUGAAGAAAGCCACGUGAACAUUCCCUGUUCCUGAGGGGAGCCAACUCUAGUGACCCAUGCCCACUCAGCACUUCCUGCACAUCCUUCACCAAAGGUGGUUGUUUCCAGGGCUUCACGUGCACGCAUGAACCUGGACUAGAGAAGUGCCCCUUACAUGGGAUUCGCAAAUGGGAAAAGCUGGGUGGAGCCUUAAAAAUGUCCACUCCUUCAAAGGAGACAACCAAGGAAACAAACAGAAAACCCACAGAAUGGGAGAAAAUCUUC
Molecule: long non-coding RNA, 405 nt
Organism: Nannospalax galili (Upper Galilee mountains blind mole rat)
Lineage: Eukaryota; Metazoa; Chordata; Mammalia; Rodentia; Spalacidae
Exons: 3
Source: RefSeq, a predicted model, not a curated record